GAUGAACGCUGGCGGCGUGCCUAACACAUGCAAGUCGAGCGUGAUGCUCUGGAUCGAAGCUUCGGCUGAUUGAAAGGGUUGAAAGCGGCGGACGGGUGAGUAACGCGUAGGCAACCUGCCCCUUACAGAGGGAUAGCCACUGGAAACGGUGAUUAAUACCUCAUAAUGCGAGAGAACCUCCUGGCUCUUUCGCCAAAGAUUUAUCGGUAAGGGAUGGGCCUGCGUCUGAUUAGCUAGUUGGUGAGGUAACGGCCCACCAAGGCAACGAUCAGUAGUCGACCUGAGAGGGUAAUCGGCCACAUUGGAACUGAGACACGGUCCAA
Molecule: ribosomal RNA, 323 nt
Filed under: uncultured bacterium
Lineage: Bacteria
Description: bacterial SSU rRNA
Rfam family: Bacterial small subunit ribosomal RNA
Source: RNAcentral